CUUCUCUUACGUACUAUCUUCAUAUUCUAUAACCUGUAGGUUUUCAGGUUGUUAGAAAUGCACCACGUGGGGCACCUGGGUGGCUCAGUAGGGUGGCCACAUUGUUAGUAAUGGACCAUGAAAAACAUCUGAACGAUGGUGAAAUGUCUGUUACUACCAGGAUCCUCUUGAGUUCAAGGAUAACUGCACCAAGGAUUUUUCCAUUAUUCUAAGCAAUGUUAAACCACUACACUCCAAUUUGCAUCCUAUUCUCAAAGAAAAUACCUGUACCUCCUCCAUGUUUACUUAUAUGAAGAGAAAGAACCACAGUCUUCAUCUUGUCUUCUAAAAGCAUUCACCUUGGCAGCCCCGGUGGCGCAGCGGUUUGGCGUCGCCUGCAGCCUGGGGUGUGAUCCUGGAGACCCGGGAUCAAGUCCCACAUUGGGCUCCCAGCGUGGAGCCUGCUUCUCC
Long non-coding RNA from Canis lupus familiaris (dog), 450 nucleotides. RefSeq lists it as uncharacterized. NCBI's taxonomy places the organism in Eukaryota, Metazoa, Chordata, Mammalia, Carnivora, Canidae. The transcript is spliced from 3 exons. The record is from RefSeq and is a predicted model, not a curated record.